UUCCCCUGGCAAUGAGCAAAGAGCUACCUUUUUGAUGUUGUUCUUAUAUCAGUCAGGGACAGAGCAGAUGGCAGUCCUUUGUUCAUUUUAGCUUUAUGCCUGGUUUUGUGGCUAAAUCUGUUUUAUGCCCAGGACUCAUAA
This is a small nucleolar RNA of Meriones unguiculatus (Mongolian gerbil), 141 nucleotides long. RefSeq annotates it as small nucleolar RNA SNORA48. The transcript has a single exon. The record is from RefSeq and is a predicted model, not a curated record. Lineage: Eukaryota; Metazoa; Chordata; Mammalia; Rodentia; Muridae.